UCUAUAUAACAAAGGGUUGGUUGGAUUCCACACAAGCUACGAAAUUGCAGCAAUCUGGGAGAGAGGUUAGCUGAUUAAUUAAUACUGCUUCCAGCUAGCUGCCUUUGUUUGGCGUCUCAGAACUGAAAUCCUAUUCCUGGGACGAUACUUUAUUUCAACUACCCAAACACGGUUAUCAAUUUUUGUUAUCAACUCCCAAGUCAGUCUCUCAAUUUACAUAUAGUUUGCAAGAAGCAAAGUAGAGUUACCAGCAAGAACAUGAGAAAUUAACAAGGGAAAUUCCUUUGUAAAUGUCAAGGAAUUGAACGUGAAAUAGUGAAUUGAACAAAAACGGUUAUUAAUUUCCAAGUCAGUCCAUGGAUUUACUUGUAGUUUCAAAGAAGCAGAGAAGAGUUACAAGCAAAAAACAUGGCAGCAUAAAAUCCCAUGUAUAACUACAUGCAAUCAGUAGCAACAAUCGCAAAGGUUACCUCAAUUCUAUGGUGUUUGAGUUGUUCGGAUUCCACGAACCUGGUGACUUUAAAGAUCAAAUUGCAGCAAUCAGAAAGGUUAGCUGAAGAGUAAAGAAACGAGGACUGAAGGCAAUAUUGUUUCGGGUAUCAUAUGUCGGAAUAGGAGCUUGGAAAUUUC
RNAcentral lists this long non-coding RNA (630 nucleotides) under Populus tremula. Its description in RNAcentral is "long non-coding RNA (PTRE_LNC002626)". Lineage: Eukaryota; Viridiplantae; Streptophyta; Magnoliopsida; Malpighiales; Salicaceae. The record is from RNAcentral.